RNAcentral lists this ribosomal RNA (468 nucleotides) under uncultured bacterium. RNAcentral describes it as "partial 16S ribosomal RNA". It matches the Rfam family "Bacterial small subunit ribosomal RNA", at positions 28 to 507 of the family's 1533-position model. The record is from RNAcentral.
GACGAACGCUGGCGGCGUGCUUAACACAUGCAAGUCGAACGGAAAGGCCCUGCUUUGGUGGGGUGCUCGAGUGGCGAACGGGUGAGUAACACGUGAGUAACCUGCCCUUGACUUUGGGAUAACUUCAGGAAACUGUGGCUAAUACCUGAUAGGAGCUCCUGCUGCAUGGUGGGGGUUGGAAAGUUUCGGCGGUUGGGGAUGGACUCGCGGCUUAUCAGCUUGUUGGUGGGGUAGUGGCUUACCAAGGCUUUGACGGGUAGCCGGCCUGAGAGGGUGACCGGCCACAUUGGGACUGAGAUACGGCCCAGACUCCUACGGGAGGCAGCAGUGGGGAAUAUUGCACAAUGGGCGGAAGCCUGAUGCAGCAACGCCGCGUGCGGGAUGACGGCCUUCGGGUUGUAAACCGCUUUCGCCUGUGACGAAGCGUGAGUGACGGUAAUGGGUAAAGAAGCACCGGCUAACUACGUG